Molecule: ribosomal RNA, 424 nt
Filed under: Verrucomicrobiota bacterium
Lineage: Bacteria; Pseudomonadati; Verrucomicrobiota
Description: Verrucomicrobia bacterium partial 16S ribosomal RNA
Rfam family: Bacterial small subunit ribosomal RNA
Source: RNAcentral
UGAGGAAUAUUGGUCAAUGGGCGAGAGCCUGAACCAGCCAAGUAGCGUGCAGGAUGACGGCCCUAUGGGUUGUAAACUGCUUUUAUAUGGGAAUAAAGUGAGGGACGUGUCCCUUAUUGCAUGUACCAUACGAAUAAGGACCGGCUAAUUCCGUGCCAGCAGCCGCGGUAAUACGGAAGGUCCAGGCGUUAUCCGGAUUUAUUGGGUUUAAAGGGAGCGUAGGCUGUUUGUUAAGCGUGUUGUGAAAUGUAGGAGCUCAACUUUUAGAUUGCAGCGCGAACUGGCAGACUUGAGUGCGCACAACGUAGGCGGAAUUCAUGGUGUAGCGGUGAAAUGCUUAGAUAUCAUGACGAACUCCAAUUGCGAAGGCAGCUUACGGGAGCGCAACUGACGCUAAAGCUCGAAGGUGCGGGUAUCGAACAGG